This is a long non-coding RNA of Stegostoma tigrinum, 655 nucleotides long. RefSeq lists it as uncharacterized. Lineage: Eukaryota; Metazoa; Chordata; Chondrichthyes; Orectolobiformes; Stegostomatidae. The transcript is spliced from 3 exons. The record is from RefSeq and is a predicted model, not a curated record.
GGAGAUGUGAAAUGUUUUCUAAGUUUAUGUUUUUCUUACUCAGACUCUGUUUCUGUACAUCCUUCCAGACUUUUUACCAAUGAUUCCUCAAAGGUCUCCAAUUCUUCAAAUGAAAUUCGCAAGAGACAGAGGUCGAUGCAUAUAUGGAAUGAGCUGCCAGAGGAAAUGGUAGAGGAUCCAGAACUCACCAUCUUUCACUGAAAAGGAGACAAGGUCCUAAGAAAGAAGAGCGAAAAUUAGAUUGAAUAUGAGUUCUUCCAAAGUAAAAGAAAACAUUUCACAGAAAUUCUCAAAUAAAUAUAUGCAGCACCAAUGGAACCUCAAGAAAAAAGUGAAGAAUCCAAUAAGGCACAGCUGACGUAACAGCACAGCAGGAUGCCAUACAGAAUGUGUACCUGAGUGAUGAGGAUUGGACUACCCUCCAAAACCUGUUCUUUUAGUAGCAGGUCUGCAAACGUGUCUGUUCCUUCGCCUCCCAUUCCAUUGGCAAAAGCCUCCAUAACUGGCAAGACAGAUUCUGAGAGCUGCAGCCAUUGUACAAGUCCUUUAAUAAAUUUCAUUCUGUACUGCCUACAAAACAAAGAAAUACAUUUAGUGACCUCCCUUUAACAAAUCUUGUAAAUAAAAGUGACCAAUGCAUAUAUGCAUGAACACU